Long non-coding RNA from Mytilus trossulus (common blue mussel), 2125 nucleotides. RefSeq lists it as uncharacterized. The transcript has 3 exons. The record is from RefSeq and is a predicted model, not a curated record. Lineage: Eukaryota; Metazoa; Mollusca; Bivalvia; Mytilida; Mytilidae.
GUAGCAGGUACCAGUUUUGGUGUACCAGAACAUGUGUCCCACGCAGAAAUUUUGUUAUAGUAAAGCAUUGAGGUAUAUAAUUGCAUCAUGUGGACUAAAAAAAUAAUUGAAUGUAAAUUCUAGGCUAGUAUACUACACAACUCUACUACAACGUUGAUACAGUAGGACAGAUUACAGAAAUAAGAAAACUGGCUUUUCUCAUCAGCAAUAGUGUGGCAAUUCUAAAAUUUCAACAUGCGGCCUACACAGCUAGCUCAUGUGGAGAAGAGAUAUGAGACUGGUUGCGAAUAAAUGUACACUUAGUUAAGUGCAUCAUGGAUCUACAAAGUGAAAUAUAUGUACCAAAAAUAUUAGUUUAUUCAUAACUAAGCCUUUUUCAGCACUGCAGUCAAUAGAACAAUGAUAGUGACAAGAAUUGAGACUAUUUCAUACCUCAAACUAUGGGAAAAUACUUCUUGAGAUCAGUUGUAAGUGGUUUUAUAUCAUGCAUGAAACAAUAAACUAAAGUAGUUUUAAACACUGUUGGAUAAUUUGUACACUGUACCAGAAAACUGACACAAUAAAAGUUAUUAAAUAUGAACACAAUCAUUUUUUUCUAAUUUUUUGGCAUUCAAAGCAGUAUGACGGCAAAAGACACAAAUAUUGCUAUAAUAAAUUUGGUCUUACAAAACCUAUAAAUGUUUUUUUUUUGUGCUGUAACCAUAUGAAAUGCAUGUAUUUUUAAUGGUUAAUAACUCAAGAACUCAAUCAGACUAAAAAAAUGUAAAUAAAUUGUUUUCAAUGAGUGGUUAAAGGUAGCAGGUACCAGUUUUGGUGUACCAGAACAUGUGUCCCACGCAGAAAUUUUGUUAUAGUAAAGCAUUGAGGUAUAUAAUUGCAUCAUGUGGACUAAAAAAAUAAUUGAAUGUAAAUUCUAGGCUAGUAUACUACACAAGUAAGUAGUUGCAUACACAGGUUGGGGAUUUCCUUCACACAUGGGUCCAAUCAGAUGUCAAAAUUGUGGUCUUCUCACUUGACGGCAUCCAAUCAAAGUAGUGAAAAUAUUCAUUUUUUUGUAAACAAAAAUAUCUUGAGAUUUUGAUGGUAAGGAUAGGUUCGGACAAUGCUCUAAUUCACUAAAUAUCCUUUAUCUCUUGAAUUUUGCCUAAAAUUCUUGUUGGCUUUUAGCAGGAUUCUGCAGCUCUACUACAACGUUGAUACAGUAGGACAGAUUACAGAAAUAAGAAAACUGGCUUUUCUCAUCAGCAAUAGUGUGGCAAUUCUAAAAUUUCAACAUGCGGCCUACACAGCUAGCUCAUGUGGAGAAGAGAUAUGAGACUGGUUGCGAAUAAAUGUACACUUAGUUAAGUGCAUCAUGGAUCUACAAAGUGAAAUAUAUGUACCAAAAAUAUUAGUUUAUUCAUAACUAAGCCUUUUUCAGCACUGCAGUCAAUAGAACAAUGAUAGUGACAAGAAUUGAGACUAUUUCAUACCUCAAACUAUGGGAAAAUACUUCUUGAGAUCAGUUGUAAGUGGUUUUAUAUCAUGCAUGAAACAAUAAACUAAAGUAGUUUUAAACACUGUUGGAUAAUUUGUACACUGUACCAGAAAACUGACACAAUAAAAGUUAUUAAAUAUGAACACAAUCAUUUUUUUCUAAUUUUUUGGCAUUCAAAGCAGUAUGACGGCAAAAGACACAAAUAUUGCUAUAAUAAAUUUGGUCUUACAAAACCUAUAAAUGUUUUUUUUUUGUGCUGUAACCAUAUGAAAUGCAUGUAUUUUUAAUGGUUAAUAACUCAAGAACUCAAUCAGACUAAAAAAAUGUAAAUAAAUUGUUUUCAAUGAGUGGUUAAAGGUAGCAGGUACCAGUUUUGGUGUACCAGAACAUGUGUCCCACGCAGAAAUUUUGUUAUAGUAAAGCAUUGAGGUAUAUAAUUGCAUCAUGUGGACUAAAAAAAUAAUUGAAUGUAAAUUCUAGGCUAGUAUACUACACAAGUAAGUAGUUGCAUACACAGGUUGGGGAUUUCCUUCACACAUGGGUCCAAUCAGAUGUCAAAAUUGUGGUCUCCUCACUUGACGGCAUCCAAUCAAAGUAGUGAAAAUAUUCAUUUUUUUGUAAACAAAAAUAUCUUGAGAUUUUGAUGGU